This 74-nucleotide transfer RNA is filed under the name Acidimicrobiia bacterium. RNAcentral describes it as "tRNA-Val". It matches the Rfam family "tRNA". From Rfam's summary of the family: Transfer RNA (tRNA) molecules are approximately 80 nucleotides in length. Lineage: Bacteria; Bacillati; Actinomycetota; Acidimicrobiia. The record is from RNAcentral. RNAcentral also lists the same sequence under 2 other names.
GGGCGCGUAGCUCAGCUGGUUAGAGCGCUGCCUUCACACGGCAGAGGUCAGGGGUUCGAGUCCCUUCGCGCCCA